RNAcentral lists this long non-coding RNA (3079 nucleotides) under Mus musculus (house mouse). RNAcentral describes it as "predicted gene, 34425". Lineage: Eukaryota; Metazoa; Chordata; Mammalia; Rodentia; Muridae. The record is from RNAcentral.
UGUAUCUAAUCUAUCUCUUUCUGUCUCCUUCCCUCCCUUCCUCCUUCCUAACUUCCUCCCACCCAUCCCUCCUUCCCUCCCUCCCUCUCUCCCUGUUCCUCUUGGCAUCCUCUCUUUGUGUCUCUCUAGGCCACUACAUGUCUAGGAGACCCCAGUAAUAUCCCCCAUCAUACUCUUCUCCAUCAUAUCUUCCCCAGGAUCCCCAAAGCUCCUUCCAACCUCUUCCAGAGACUACUGUGCACCUCCAGGGAGGGUCUGGACUUUCAGCCACUGAAGCUGCAUAAAUAAGGAGCGAUGGGGAGAGGAGCAUAUGUGUCCCAGUGGCAUGCUGCCUGUGCUGGCGGCAGCAGGAGGCCUGACAGGCUCGUCCAUUGCCAAGCUCUACUCAAAGUGUCAGUCACCAACAGCCUUCCAUUCAAGGGCCCCUGUUUGCCACGAUCAACAUUUCAAAAGCAAGUGCGUGAGGCGUACAGUAGGUUGCUAUAAUUCACCCAAGGGCUGCGCCUGCCGCAGGAGACCAGCCGUAUUCUUCUCUCUGAGCUCCCCCUCUCUGUUAUUAUAUAAAACCAUUGCAGCCCUUAAGGAGUUGGCAUCUGACAUCGCCAGCUCCUGGAUCCCCAGAACAGAGCUGGGAAGGAAUAAAUAGAAGGGAGGGAAAGCGGCGUUCUGUUCCGGCUCCGGCAACAACGUGAACCAACCGUCAGAGAGUUAACAGCAGCCAAGCAUUUGGUGUUAAUCUUUAAUAUUCCCAAGAACUUGUCACCUCUUCCUUCAGGCCCACAGCUGCCUCCUCCAAGCCCCAGAAAUCAGGAGUGUGAACAAAUGUGGAGGGAUGAACAUGGCAGCAGAAGGUGAAAGGGCUCUGUGGCUGUUGCCCAGCUAACAGUGUGUCUACUGUUGACAGUUUAUUCUCAUCAAGACAGUGCAGGCUCUGUGGAUCCUGUGUGAAUCUGUCCAUCACCUUGAAUGUCUGGCGAUCUUGACACCACGCUUCAUGGCCAGGCUGGACCCUCUACUAACCGCUGAGGUUUCACUGCUUGCUUCUGACCUCAGAGGACCUCUUCAUGCCAUCCAGACACCUUCACCUCCAUUGCGAAUUCCUGAUAUGCUGAUUUUCGUGGUUUCUUCCUCUACCUGUACAUCCCUCCACACAUCCUACCUCUGAUCCAGUGUCUAUAUACCUACCAUCCUUUUGUACAGAGACUCCAGAGUCAGAAAUGCUAUCAGCUGCCUGUAAAGCUGGUGGGCUUACAGUGUGUGCGUGUGCGUGUGCGUGUGCGUGUGCGUGUGCGUGUGCGUGUGCGUGUGUGUGUGUGUGUGUGUGUGUAAAGAGAUCAAGGGAUCGAGAGACUUGCCCAAGGUUGCAUAAUGUACGAGUGAGGAAAUGAGUCACAUCUCCUCACGGCACUCCAUGUAGAGUGAACAUCUCUGUUAUAUUAAUUUGAAUAUGAAUUUGAAUUUGAAUAUGAAUGUUAUAUAAUUUGAAUAUGCUUGGCCCAUGGGAAGUGCUACUAUUAGGAGGUGUGGCCUAGUUGGAGGAAGUGCAUCACUGGGGGGCAAGAGCAGGAGGAUGGGGCGGGGAGGCUUUGAGAUCCUCUGCUUAAGCUCUGCCCAGGGAAGAAAGUCUCUUGGCUGCCUUUGGAUCAAGAUGUAGAACUCUCUUGGCUCCUCCAGCGCCAUGGCUGCCUGGAAGCUGCCAUGAUGUCAAUGGACUGACCCUUUAAACUGUAAGCCAACCCCAAUUAAAUGUCUUUCUUUAUAUGAGUUGCCUUAGUUAUGAUGUCUCUUUAUAGCAAUGAAAGUCACACCAAUUUGAUGACAGAAGCAGAUGUGUGGGGACUAGCCCUGCUUGAGGCUAGCCUGGCCUAUAAGAAAUUCAUCUCAAAAACAACAAAGAUAAACUGUAAGAUAGCGCAAACAAGGACAACACAGAGAAUUGUGGGAACACAUGCUUUUGGGUUUAAAAUUAUCAAUUAUGGAGACAACUCAGAGAGUAGAGCAUCCACCACACCCGUGGGAGGACCUGAGGGCAGAAACCCAAUGCCCACUAUAGCCAGACUGGGAGCUGUGACCCCAGCUCUCCUGUGAUGAGGUGGGAACUGAGAUAGCAUUCCUGGAAGUUCGAGGGAGAGCUAGCAUGGGGUAUGCAGCACAAAAACAAGACACCUUGCCUCAGUCAAAGUGGGAGGUGAAGACCAACGCUCACAGUUGCCCACUGACCUCCAAACAUGCACCAUGGCCCAUGCACAAGCACACGCUCAUAUUAAAAAACGAAAGAGCCAGACACAUGGAGAGAUGAUGACAACAUUUAAUUAAGAAUGAUAUUAAAAAUGAAAAUAAACAGGGUUCAGACACUGGCCAAUCAGAAUAGAGUUUUUGCAGGGGUCUCCUAGGUUCGGAAUUAACCCUUCUUGUUCUGAAUCAUGGGACCAUUCAGGCAUCCAAGGUGGAGAGGCUGAGGGCUAGCAUGGGUCCAUGGCAGGUUUUCAAGUCCAGUUUGCCCAUCUGAUGCACCUCAGUACCAGCACUGGCAUAAUGUACUGUUGACACACACAGCACAGGGUCCCGAAGCCAAGUCUGAGCUGUGCGUUGUCUAGGAACCUCAUCCCUGCUGUAGUAGCCUUGGCUGCACUGGAGAGUCCCAUAGACUUGGAUGCACUCCAGGUAGCCUUGUCCUGCCUCAAGCCUCAUGCCCAGAUCAUCCUGCAGGCUGCAUUCCUUCAAUCUCCUCAUCUCCUCGCUCUAGCUCACAGGAGUAGGGUCACUCACACAGCAUCUUCCAGUGAGUGAGGCAGAGUGGGGAGGACAGUUCUGAGGACACAUUGAAGCAUCCUCUUCCAGAGGGCAUGCUGAGGUGCCAUCUGCCUCCUACAGAGUAAAGGGGACUCAAAUCCUGGUCACUGUAUAGGCCUCUCACCUCCCCUGCUGCAACCCAAUCCUGUCCUCCAUUCUCACCCGAAGAACGUACUUCCUGAGUCCCCAUCUCAGGAUCUUUUUAAAAACUUAUUUUUUGAGAUUAUAAUUUCACCAUCCCCCCUUCCUUUUCUCCUUUCCUUGUACCUCUCAAACUCACAGCCUC